Molecule: ribosomal RNA, 393 nt
Filed under: Stercorarius sp. Bermuda
Lineage: Eukaryota; Metazoa; Chordata; Aves; Charadriiformes; Stercorariidae
Description: partial 12S ribosomal RNA
Rfam family: Bacterial small subunit ribosomal RNA
Source: RNAcentral
GCCNAGCCCUAAAUCCUGAUGCUUACCGUACCAAAGCAUCCGCCUGGGAACUACGAGCRCAAACGCUUAAAACUCUAAGGACUUGGCGGUGUCCCAAACCCACCUAGAGGAGCCUGUUCUAUAAUCGAUAACCCACGAUUCACCCGACCACCUCUUGCCAGAGCAGCCUACAUACCGCCGUCGCCAGCUCACCUCCCCUGAGAGCCCAACAGUGAGCACAAUAGCCCAACCCACUAACAAGACAGGUCAAGGUAUAGCCCAUGGGGUGGAAGAAAUGGGCUACAUUUUCUACAAUAGAAAACCUACGAAAGAGGGUAUGAAAUAACCCCCGGAAGGCGGAUUUAGCAGUAAAGGGGGACAAUAGGGCCCCCUUUAAGUUGGCCCUGGGGCACG